CAGUCGCCGCGGGAAUACGUAGGUGACAAGCGUUGUCCGGAAUUAUUGGGCGUAAAGGGAGCGCAGGCGGUUGGAAUAGUCUGAUGUGAAAGCCCACGGCUUAACCGUGGAAUUGCAUUGGAAACUGUCCAACUUGAAUGCAGAAGAGGAAAGCGGAAUUCCAUGUAUAGCGGUGAAAUGCGUAGAUAUAUGGAGGAACACCAGUGGCGAAGGCGGCUUUCUGGUCUGUGAUUGACGCUGAGGCUCGAAAGCGUGGGGAGCGAACAGGAUUAGAUACCCCAGUAGUCCCUGUCUCUUAUAC
This 301-nucleotide ribosomal RNA is filed under the name uncultured bacterium. RNAcentral's name for it is "partial 16S ribosomal RNA". It matches the Rfam family "Bacterial small subunit ribosomal RNA", at positions 509 to 807 of the family's 1533-position model. The record is from RNAcentral.